RNAcentral lists this ribosomal RNA (253 nucleotides) under uncultured bacterium. RNAcentral's name for it is "partial 16S ribosomal RNA". It matches the Rfam family "Bacterial small subunit ribosomal RNA", at positions 524 to 776 of the family's 1533-position model. The record is from RNAcentral.
UACGGAGGGGGCCAGCGUUGUUCGGAAUUAUUGGGCGUAAAGGGCGCGUAGGCGGCGAGGUAAGUCAAACGUGAAAUCCCUCGGCUUAACCGAGGAAUUGCGUCUGAAACUGCCUUGCUCGAGGCCGGAAGAGGAGAGUGGAAUUCCCAGUGUAGCGGUGAAAUGCGUAGAUAUUGGGAGGAACACCGGUGGCGAAGGCGGCUCUCUGGACCGGUUCUGACGCUGAGGCGCGAAAGCCAGGGUAGCAAACAGG